CCUACCGGGAGGGCAGCAGGUAGGGAAUAUUGCUCAAUGGGGGAAACCCUGAAGCAGCAACGCCGCGUGGAGGAUGAAGGUUUUCGGAUUGUAAACUCCUUUUGUUAGAGAAGAUAAUGACGGUAUCUAACGAAUAAGCACCGGCUAACUCCGUGCC
Molecule: ribosomal RNA, 157 nt
Filed under: uncultured bacterium
Lineage: Bacteria
Description: partial 16S ribosomal RNA
Rfam family: Bacterial small subunit ribosomal RNA
Source: RNAcentral